AUGAACCGUAGACAUGCAAAAUGGGUUGAACUUAUUGAAUCUUUUCAUUAUGUUAUUAAGCACAAGAAAGGGAAGGAGAAUGUUAUUGCCGAUGCAUUGUCUAGACGCUAUACCCUGUUAUCACAACUUGACUUCAAAUUUUUUGGACUUGAAACUAUAAAAGAGCAAUACGCUAAUGAUGUCGACUUUAAAGAUAUAUUGCUCAAUUGCAGAGAGGGUAGAACUUGGAACAAGUUCGUCGUUAAUGACAGAUUGUUUUUCAUGCUAAUAAGCUAUGCAUCCCAGAUAGCUCUGUUCAUCUUUUGUUGUUACAGGAGGCGCAUGGCGGAGGACUUAUAG
Molecule: ribosomal RNA, 339 nt
Filed under: Triticum aestivum (bread wheat)
Lineage: Eukaryota; Viridiplantae; Streptophyta; Magnoliopsida; Poales; Poaceae
Description: partial small subunit ribosomal RNA
Source: RNAcentral